Molecule: long non-coding RNA, 1434 nt
Organism: Varroa destructor (honeybee mite)
Lineage: Eukaryota; Metazoa; Arthropoda; Arachnida; Mesostigmata; Varroidae
Source: RefSeq, a predicted model, not a curated record
AGGACCAAAUUCUAUCGUAUUGAUCUUGUACAUUUUUCCGAGUGUUGGAAGAUUAUCAAGUACCAAAAUUGGCUUAGAAAGCCUUUGACAAUGAACUCUGUCAAAUGAACAAACAAUGAACUCUGUCAGAAACAGAUUUCUUAGCGGACGCUUACGGCAAACUCGAGGCGGUUUCCUAUAGCAACAGGUACUAUGUCUGAACAAACAACGACGCAUAAUUAAGACCUUUAGCAAUCUGUGGCCUGCAGAAAAAAUCUCAAGAGAGUGAGGUUUCUCACAGAUAACUGUGAAGAGCGGCGGUUAAACUGUCAACAAGCUCCUCAAAAAGUUGAUCAACAGAUUCUGGAGAUCCCAGCAGAAAUAUCAGCCCACAAAGUCUUGCCAUUGACAACAAAUCAAGCAUACAAACUGCACAGUGAUUGUGAGAAUGCCGCUUCCAAAUUUUUACAUCAUAACGUGCAGUCAAAGGUGAUUUGAGUCUGCGCGGGGGCUAACGCUUAGCUGUGCGCAAAUCUUUCAAGGUUACUAUACUCGUCCUUCACCCACGAGGGCGCGCAGGCGUCCUGAAACGCUCAAACCAGUUUCAGCAAACUCUACCAGGUACUCCUCGCCUCACUGCGAUUUCAAACGCAAAUCUCAUCAUGUCAACUAAAAAUCUUCCAGCGAAAAAACAGUAAACAAGUGCAGAUCUUUCUUCUUCUAGGAUUCAAUAGUACUGAAAGCCGAUACAAACGAAUUUACACGGUUAACGCGGAGCAGUUCGGAACCAAGCUUCGAAUCAGGCAAUCGCGUAAGACGCGCGAGUAUCAAAGUUAGGUUGUAGAGAUAUUCUUCAGACCGACUUUACGGGUCAUCAAGUGACACCUAACGAUUCGGCUAAAUACCGACCAUUUUGAACCCGAUCGACUGGACGUUACUGCUUACUGCGCGUGGUCAAUAUCCUCGAGUCUCAACAAGCGAUGACUGGUCGUAUAAUACAAAAUAGGGGCGACGGCAGCAUAGACGACAGUUUGUCUUUUCAGUUAACUUCCUUUGCCUUCGUGGAAAGCAUAGCAAGCCUGCGUAAUUGCCCUAUGUCGGUUCAUAUUGAAGAUAGCGGUUGUACCUCAGUGGAUUUUGGGCACGUGGGUUCGAGAAACACCAGUACUAAUGAUAUGGCAGAAUAUACCAUUCAAGUAAUAUGACUAUAAGGAAAUUCUCUUUUUUCCUAGAUGUCUUUUUGGAAGUGCGAUGGUAACAGGUCUUCGCACUAACCUGAGGGACAUAGAAAUGGUGUCAAUUUGAGCCUGAAUCUAACAGCAUCUUAACAUCUGAACGAUAAGCAGGGUGGUCUAUUUUCUGCUGGAUUCUUAAACGCUGUUCUAUUGAACCCCGAAGCAUAAACAGCAUAUGCUUCCGACAUUGCUACACAGCGGCACAUGCGUGUUGUAGAAG